Molecule: ribosomal RNA, 253 nt
Filed under: uncultured bacterium
Lineage: Bacteria
Description: partial 16S ribosomal RNA
Rfam family: Bacterial small subunit ribosomal RNA
Source: RNAcentral
UACGUAGGGUGCGAGCGUUGUCCGGAAUCACUGGGCGUAAAGGGCGCGUAGGCGGCAGGCCAAGCGUGUGGUGAAAGCCCGGGGCUCAACCCCGGGUCGGCCAUGCGGACUGGCGUGCUUGAGCACUGUAGGGGCGGGUGGAAUUCCGGGUGUAGCGGUGGAAUGCGUAGAGAUCCGGAAGAACACCGGUGGCGAAGGCGGCCUGCUGGGCAGUUGCUGACACUGAGGCGCGACAGCGUGGGGAGCAAACAGG